This 2052-nucleotide long non-coding RNA is filed under the name Oryzias sinensis (Chinese medaka). Its description in RNAcentral is "lncRNA (ENSOSIG00000007580.1)". Lineage: Eukaryota; Metazoa; Chordata; Actinopteri; Beloniformes; Adrianichthyidae. The record is from RNAcentral.
UUUUCCACUUUCUGCAUUGUACUCAUUUAUCUUCCAAACCCGUUUUGUCUCUUUCGGGGUCACGGAGCUCUUAUCCCGGUCACUGGUGGGCAAAGGCAGGGCUCACCCUGGACAGGUCGCCAGUCUGACGCCACAAUCACACUCCCAAACACAAAUAUGGAUAAUUUUGAGUGACCAAUCAACCUGUAAAGCAUAUUUUUUGGACAGUGGGAGGAAGCUAGAGUCCCCAGAGACAACCCAUGCAUGCAAACUCCACAUGGAAGGAUCCCCCACUGGUGGAUCCCCCACCCCAGGCUUUGAACCGGAGCCUUUUUGCUGUGAGGCAAGAGCGCUGACUUCGGCGCUGCCGUGCAGAUUUAGAGGAUUUGAUUUUUUUUAAAACUUCUAAUCAUUUGUUGUUCCUAAAGUGCACUGAACUCUUGAGCUUCUGGGAAUCUUAAGUUGAGCUCAUAACAUGUCAUUUCCCUUGAGCUUUUUUUCCCACCCUCCUUCAAUCCCGUUUUUAAUUUAGUCAACUAUCCAAAGCUGCUCUUUGCAAUCAAGGCCUAAGCACUUGUAGAAAUGGCUUCAGGAAGAUGAUUAAAGGCCUCACGAGAGACGACAAUUUUUAUGUCAAGAACAACCAAAGGGUGCUUUUCUACUGCAUGAAUGAGGCCGAGCUGGUCGAAGCAGCUGUUCGGUGUCUAACCAGCAGUUCCCCAAUUUACCAACAGAUUUCUAAAAAGGCAAGCAACGCAAGAGAAAAAGUAAAGAAACCUUUGACGUCACCCAAAAGAUUAAAGCAGAUUUCAGAGGAAAAAGACUGGGACUGCUGCGAUUACCCGGAGACGACCUAUGUUUCUGAGACGGACUUGGACGUCACAGAAGUGGAGACGCUGCCGUACACCAGGAGCCCUGAGGCUGAGAGGUCACACCAGAAUCAACGGACUGUGAGGAACGCCGAUGCUGAAGCUGAGGGAGAACAGGAGAAACCAACAGAGGAUGCAGCACAUCAAGAGGACGAGGCGUUACAACUUGUGCGGGACAUUUUUUUCACCUGAUCACUGUUGUUGUAAAUAGAAUUUCUUUAAGGUAAAAGUAAAGUAAAAUCCUCAACAUGUCAUGAAAAUAUUGAGGUAAUCUUAAUGUAAAGACAGCUAUUUCACAUUAAAGUUUAAGUUUAAAAAAUAUCUUACUAUCGGAAUUGUCUUCAAACUUAAAAUACAAUAAAACUCCAGACUUCCUGUAGUUUUAAAUGAUUCUUCUUUAUUAACUUGGCUUGUUUCCUAAUGGUCAUGCCAUACAAAACCUCAUGGGAUCUCAAGAGGUUAUUGCAGAAAAACCUCCCUUCAGAUAAAAGCAUAUUGGUACAUUUUUAGUUUGUGAAAAAUGAAAGUCAUGGCAGCUGUGAUGACCCUAAUGACUCAGAUACUUUAUAAUAAAGAACAUUUGCCAUUAUUGGCCUCCUGUUGUGUGAAAAAAAACAGCCUUUAUCAAAAUGUUCAUAUUUAAGUAGGUUGGAUCAACAUAAAUAUUUGUUUAGUCAAGUGUAAGUCAGGGGGAAACGGUUGUACAUAUAAUGAAACUAUUAUGAAAAAGCCUUUUACUAAGGUGGUAUUUGUUGUGGUUAUAACACGAAGGCCCUCCUUCAUUAAUAACACAGAAUGGACAGUCACAACAAAUCAUUAGUUAGCAGUCUGAUACUAUGUGUGGGAACCAGAUCUACAAUUAAAAAAAAGGCCAAGCAUGGAUACAAAAGACCAAACUGAGAACAAACAUCUGCUCCACCAGGAGAGCUUCAGUGUCACCCACUGCGGGGCAGUUCAUGACGACCACACCACUAAAGUGUUUAUAGGAACAUCUAUGUAAAAUCUUGAGAGCCCUGCUAUAAAUACCCAGCUUUAAAAAAAAAAGCAGCUGAAACACUACAUUAAACAUAUGUAAUAAGAUUUUAUUUAAAAACUGUUUUUAAAAAAUUAAACGAUAUCCCCACUUAAGUGAACAAACAUGGAAGAGAGUCAGAGCUGGAUGAAUUGGGAGGGUAAGAAGUUUUCUGCUGUUCAUUCACUUUUG